Molecule: long non-coding RNA, 528 nt
Organism: Lathyrus oleraceus (garden pea)
Lineage: Eukaryota; Viridiplantae; Streptophyta; Magnoliopsida; Fabales; Fabaceae
Exons: 3
Source: RefSeq, a predicted model, not a curated record
CGCUUUGGUAAUUAAUUGUUACUGCAGUGAAAUUGGUUACAAGUGGACACAUUGAAGAAGCUGAGGAUUUGAUGAAGAUUCCCUCGUGUUUCCAGUUAUCCAUCGCAAACUUUGUGUAUACUUGCUAUAAUAGUGCCAACAAGAUCAAAACUUCCAGGCUGCAAGAAUUUACUGACUGCAAAUAUGUAUGGGAAGGUAGCUUGGGCUGAGACUGGUACAGAACCAUUGUUGAAAACCUGGGCAGUAAGAUUCUGAACAUACAGACGAUGAUCGACAGGAAGGUGAAUGCUGGCCUUGAUCGAGAUGGACUGACGCCUCUUGAAAUAGAAGGAGAUACCGUUGUGGUCCUACUAGGAACAGAUUUGAGAAGUCUUAGUGCCUGGAAGCUGUCAUCAAAUGAUUUCACUUCGCUUCCUAUUCUACCAUUUUCAACAAGUGACAAUAGCCUUGCAACUCAGUAGCAGUUUUCUGCAAGGGCCUACUUGCAUCACCUGGUAACGACAAUCUUCUAAGUGAAGAUACACCAAU